AAAGCCGAAGAGUGAACAUAAGAAAGAAGAGAUGACGACGAUUUGAUUUCUUUUUGUACCAUUUCAUUUUUUUUCGUUUCACUUU
RNAcentral lists this non-coding RNA (85 nucleotides) under Lotharella globosa. Lineage: Eukaryota; Cercozoa; Chlorarachniophyceae. The record is from RNAcentral.